Molecule: long non-coding RNA, 760 nt
Organism: Apodemus sylvaticus (European woodmouse)
Lineage: Eukaryota; Metazoa; Chordata; Mammalia; Rodentia; Muridae
Exons: 3
Source: RefSeq, a predicted model, not a curated record
AGACCCUCCCAAGAAAACAAAAUUAACAUCAAAUACAAGACCAGGGCUAUCCACCACACUGAAGUGUUUUCUGCGACAGCAUGCAUUCACACUAUGUCUACAGACGGGAUUUAUGUUAGAGAGCCUGCGGUCCAGAUGGUUGAACUACUACUUGCUCUUCGUCUCUUUAUGGAAAGGAUUCAAACUGAACAGCAGGUUACCGUUUUAUGUACAUAUUGUGACCUGAAUUUGAGGGCGUAGAGAAAAGCCCGGGAGGAACCUCACGAGAAUGGUACCUGCUUGUGUGUGCCAGGGGAGGGUGUCACUAACCCCUCACCACGUUCUUACUUUCGGUUGAGUCUGUGUGAUGAAGAUGUAUGACUUUUUGCUCUAAUGGAAAGAAGCAAGCAGCCCUGGGAAGCUCUUAGCAGACGAGUCCCCAAAGCCUGUAACUACCCAGGAGGAUGCAUUUUGCUAAAAGCCUGGACAUCGUGGAGAAAAUGAUAAAAAGGACCACAUCGGGCAGAUAAAAUGACAGUGGUAGAAGGGCCCGAGGCAGAGGAAAUUGAAAGAAAAUGGAAGAAAUGAGAGAGAAAUUGCAGCACUGAGGAUAUUUGAGUGUAUUCCCCUGGAGAGCGAAAAUAGCAUGAAUUUUUAGAACAAAAUAUUAAUGCUUAAAAGUGCCCAGUCAUGGCUGCCUGAGGCUUCUGAUUGCUGCCUUCAAGUUUAGCCAUUCACACCUCUGGGUGUGUCUGCAGUGGUGUUCUUAGAGAUGACUAGC